AGUAGCUCAUUCACACUCGUAUCAUUCUGAUUAUCAGAAUUUACACUUAGAAUGAAGCCCACAAUAUGGUGCCUAUCGUCAAACAUCGGAUAUCAACCUUAAUAGGCUUAUCCACUUAAAGACGUAACGUUGAGUGAGGCACCUCCAA
RNAcentral lists this small RNA (148 nucleotides) under Thorsellia anophelis DSM 18579. Its description in RNAcentral is "Glm Y RNA activator of glmS mRNA". It matches the Rfam family "Glm Y RNA activator of glmS mRNA". Rfam says of the family: This family consists of a number of bacterial RNA genes of around 167 bases in length. The function of this RNA is unknown. The record is from Rfam by way of RNAcentral. Lineage: Bacteria; Pseudomonadati; Pseudomonadota; Gammaproteobacteria; Enterobacterales; Thorselliaceae.